GUAUCGGAUCAAAUACGCUUAGAUCCAACCCGCUCCGCUUCCCAACCCAUGACCAACUCAAAGCUUCUCGGACCCUCCAGUUCAUCCUCAGAACCACUUCCAACUCUUGUAACUCUCGUUCUCCGACGCCAUGUAGAAGGGUUCACUCGUCUCCUUCCCCAAGAAGCACCAUCUGUUCCUUAGGAGAUGCCACAGUACUACACCUCGCUUCCUGCGUCAGCGGCCCACUAAGCCGACCUAAGUACCAUUUUUAUUUAAACUCUAUUUACUUCUAUUCCUUCUCUUUUCAACACGGUACUCAAUUUUUUUUUAAUAUCUGCAGUUGUAACAAAAAUCAAUUCUACCAACUACUCCUAGAAAAGACGGUAGAUGCG
Molecule: long non-coding RNA, 374 nt
Filed under: Ananas comosus (pineapple)
Lineage: Eukaryota; Viridiplantae; Streptophyta; Magnoliopsida; Poales; Bromeliaceae
Description: long non-coding RNA (ACOM_LNC003665)
Source: RNAcentral